Molecule: long non-coding RNA, 3786 nt
Organism: Cydia pomonella (codling moth)
Lineage: Eukaryota; Metazoa; Arthropoda; Insecta; Lepidoptera; Tortricidae
Exons: 4
Source: RefSeq, a predicted model, not a curated record
CUAAUCUUGUAAAUUGGUAAUUUUUGUUCAUUUAUGCUAAAUUAUUUUUUUUUCCCAAUUCUAGCCUAAAAUUUUAUUUUAUUAGUAUUAUCUUCGAAUAAUACCAUAAAUAUUAUAAUUUUAUCCUCUCUUGCAGUAUGAGAUAAAUAUUUAAUUAACAUAUUUUUAAUAUAUACUUAUCAUAUUUUAUGAUAAUGUAACAAGUGUAUUUAAACGACUUAAUUAACUUUUAAGUAAUCAAGAGUAAUAUUUUAUUAUUAUUUUACUACCUAUUUCUAGAUUGUUUAAUUUUCUUUUUUCAUGUAUGCUAUAAAUACUAGAAAUGCCACAAACAUAUGAUAACUAUAUGGUAUUUGACCUAUUCGGCCACUUUUGCUGAAUAUUCAGUAUUCGGCCAAUACCACUAUUCAAAUCAUUUUUAUCAAAUACUUGUGUUAUUUGUAUUAUCUAGGUCAAUUGAAUAACAUUCUAUGCUUUACUUGUACUCAAAACCACCACGCACUUUACAGUCCAGGUAGAGAAACCCUCGACGCAUCGGCAAUUUUUUUUUUUAGAGACCCGAACAUGUGCACUCAACUUGUCCUUAAACUUUUGCGUCUAUUGUCUCAAUUUUUUAUCACCGGCCGCAUCGUCGGUCGCAACAUUCUAAGUUUUAUUAUUUCAACAUGUUUUUGUUUUAAUGAAUAUUUCCAUUAACUUAAACCCAAGUUUAAAAAAAAUCUCAGUAAUAAAUCAAAGAUCAUUAUUAAUAUAUCGGUAAAUGUUUUUUUUGUACAAUGAAUUGUAUUUAAUAUUUUAUUUCAAUUAAUUUCUUUACUGGCAACAUCAGUAAAUACUGAGUAUUUCCCUUGUUUUGUCUAUGGCGUCGCUAGAGUAUGGCGCUAGUGGCGCCCCCUAGCAUAAACCAUAGGUCAAUUUGUUAUACACAAAGCCAAACUCUUUUUGAAGUGCUAGGUUGUGAUUGUGACGUGUACAUUAUUUUUCUUUAAAAUGAGACUUACUAAGAUUGACCUUUUAAUUUGUGAGUUCCCAAUAAUUUGGGAUAGUAACGAGUUAUAUACUAUGGAGAUAAAUUUUUGGCCGAACUCGCUCGUCAGAUCUUAUUAAAACUGUGCAAAAAUGUAAAACUUUUUUUUUUAAUUCAAAUAUUUUGACUAUGAAAAUAAGAAAUUUCAAGGAUCGCCUUCGCAGAUUUAAGGUAUAACUACAAUUAUAUGUAUGUUUUGUCAAAUAUUUUAUUUUAAUAAUCUUUUAAUUAUUAUUACAAAACUUUUGUAAUGUUAAAAGAAAACAUUUCUUAUAACAGAAAAAUGAAAUCGCCAAAAGAAAAUGUUUCCGAUUUAGUAUAAAUAUAACUGAGUCCUCCCAUCACGCAGACAUCAUUGUUGAAGAACAUCAAGACCAAAUUUCAAUAAGUUUAAUUAAUUCAUCGAUAGCAUAUGAUUAAUAUUUUUUAUUUAUAAUUCAUUCAAUUAAUCAUACUUAUUUCUUUUGAAUUUUUCAGGCUCUAAUGAAUGAAUCCGGGUCGCUGGAUGAGUUGGGUGACCCUGAAUCUACCCUUUAGGUAAGUAAUACACUAUUCUCUUUACUCUCUUUUUUUUUCAGAACAUUUUUUCCUAAAAAUGUUAAUUAGGUAGGACACGUUCAGUUAUUUCAGUAUAUAUUAGUUUACCGUAAUGUUAAUUUAAACUACAUAUUUAGUUUAUAUCUAUGCUAUAAUACUAUCCUGUUGCCAUUAUGUUAUUAGUUCAUUAUAUAUAUAGGUAUGAUGGAAAAAAUUUAACUCAUUGGCCUACAAUCUAUUCUUUUUUUCUUCUGAAGUCUGUUCUGUUUGCACUAUAGAUACUGAUAAGAAAGUGUUGUUACGCCUACUUACUUGUUUUAAGUGAACUCUAUUGCCUAUAUAAUAUGAAUGAAAUUUGAUAACACAAAACAAGACGUAUUAAGGAGUACCUGCGACCCUUUUUUUUCCCCCGACCCUUUAAGUGGCCAAACGCGUCUCGCCUUGAGCUGAGCGUCAGCUAUUUUUAACACAUGUAUUAAUUUUACGGUUUUCAAAUUUUUGCUUAAAUAUGAUUUCAGAUACGUAAGGCGUUUUUGAGUAAGCUGAUAUGUAAUUAGUCCUCCUAAUUAUAUGACGACAUAUUAUAAAUGUUCCAAGUAACGAGGUAUCGAGUGCCACUGAAUGCUGUCCUGUUAUUUUAUUUUGAGCUAAACUACCACAUUCAGCAUCUCUACACUCGACCCGCGACCCCAAGAACCAGUGUUCUUCUACUCUAGACUUGGUAAUAUUAGUCCCUACAAUGCAAGUUACAUCGAUAGAGUGCAGUCAAGAGGAGAAAAAAAUUAUAUUGAUAAAUAUUAUAAUAUAUAGAUAUAAUUUAAAAAAUUUCAAGGAAAAUCCAAAUCAUAUUGUUCACAUUCCAGUUUUCUUACGGCAGCAAAAAUGUAGCCGACGAGGCUACUCUAUGUAAUAAACUAUUUAUAUAUAUAAUCCUGGUCAUUCCGGCACCAAAAAUUGUACCUUACCCCAUCUACUACUAAACUAAUUAACUAAAAUUCAACCAGGAUUAAAUAAAAUUAGGAAAAUAAAUAAAUUUGGCCAUGUGAUCGUCUAGGGUAUUUACGUUGUGAACCUUAGUACCCUUCGUCUUUUAUGUGAAAACUGAUACGAUUUGGAUUUCUCAAAACUAUCCCUAAAUAUCCUAUGAAUUUGUAAAUAUUCCUACUGUAUAUUUUUAUUAACACUAUUGUUAGACAAAUAAAAAAAAUAGUAAAUAAUAUAUAUUUUUUAGAAUUUAUCUCCUACCGGGCCCUACCGUGACCAGUUACCGUGAACAGUAGUAAGCCCUUUUUGUUUGUAAUUUAAAACUUAUAUUUUCCUUUUAAUAUAUCUCUUCGCUAACCUAGCUAGCUAAAGGAAAAUAUGUAUAUGUAACCAUUGUAACCAUAAAUAAAUAUUGCAAAGAAUAGUAAGUACAAACAUACUUUAUCUACUGUCACGCCCGGAUGAAGACGGGUCUCUAAGCUAAUUAAUACCCAUUUUAUUUUAUUUUAUUUUUAAUAGGUAUUCCUAAGCACCAUGUAAUAUUACUCUACCAACGUUUCGUAACCUAAUUUCAGACGAGAAGAAACGCCAAGAAACUCAUCUGAAUGUACUAUUAAUGUAUGGAAUACUGAAAACAAUCGUCUAUUAAAUAUGACUUUAUUUACCCUUUAAUUCCCCAGUUAUAGAAAAGCUCAAUUGUCACUAGUGAACUGCUCCGCCUGUCACUAGCUCCCUAUAACAAAAUUAUUUAGUAUGUCCUCAAAUAACUUUGUUCCCCUAUCUCACCCAAUGUAAAAAUAUAUAAACCUUCAAUCAUAUUUAAUGUACGAGCCUCAGUAACCCAUCCAUAUGCUACUGAAGAUAGAUUUUAAUUUAUUUUGUAAUUAAAACAGUUAAAACUCUAAUGAUUUUAGUAUUGUUUACAAUCAAACUAAAUGUGAAAGAAAAUAAAUAAACCUAACACCCAAAUAAUGACUCUACCCUAACUCUACCCCAAAUUCACCUAUUCUAAUGUGUGUAAAACUAGAGGCGAACCUCUAUUUUUACAGGGAGGAGUGUGUGUGAGGGACCCUAAUUUAAGCUCUAAACGUUCGGCCGACAAAACCGAGGUAUAGCAAACCCUAGUGUCUGUGUGAUUGCCUCCCUCCAUCUGUGUUAGCCGAAGCCUGGGUACAGAUGAAUAAGGCGCCCUAACCAUGUAUAUAAUGUGUAUAAAUAAAUAUAUUUAACAAGACAAC